This 607-nucleotide ribosomal RNA is filed under the name uncultured bacterium. Its description in RNAcentral is "bacterial SSU rRNA". It matches the Rfam family "Bacterial small subunit ribosomal RNA", at positions 77 to 690 of the family's 1533-position model. The record is from RNAcentral.
GCAAUAGCUGGAAGCACCGGCGCACGGGUGAGUAACACGUGAGAAUCUACCUUGAGACGGGGGAUAGCCGAUAGAAAUAUCGGGUAAUACCGCGUAUGCCGAGAGGUGAAAGACACUUUUGUGUCGUCUUGAGAUGAUCUCGCGUCCCAUUAGCUAGUUGGCAGGGUAAAAGCCUACCAAGGCGACGAUGGGUAGCCGGCCUGAGAGGGUGUACGGCCACAUUGGGACUGAGACACGGCCCAGACUCCUACGGGAGGCAGCAGCUAAGAAUAUUCCACAAUGGGAGAUAUCCUGAUGGAGCGACGCCGCGUGAACGAAGAAGGCAGAAAUGUUGUAAAGUUCUUUUAUACGGGAAGAAUAAGACUAUCGAGAGAAACUUUAGUCGAUGACGGUACCGUAUGAAUAAGCCACGGCUAACUACGUGCCAGCAGCCGCGGUAAUACGUAGGUGGCAAGCGUUGUUCGGAAUUAUUGGGCGUAAAGGGCAUGUAGGCGGUUGGAUAAGUGUGGAUUGAAAUACCGGAGCUUAACUCCGAGUUUGGUCUGCAAACUGUCCGGCUAGAGUGCAGUAGGGGUGACUGGAAUUCCGCGUGUAGGGGUGAAAUCUG